Molecule: small RNA, 100 nt
Filed under: Arabidopsis thaliana (thale cress)
Lineage: Eukaryota; Viridiplantae; Streptophyta; Magnoliopsida; Brassicales; Brassicaceae
Description: ATSL260590
Source: RNAcentral
UCAAAAUAAUUAAUUUUACUUUAAAUUCUUAAUUUAAAUUGUCAAUCACAUUAUCAAUCAAAUUUAAUCCAAACAAACUUCACAUCAAUCACUUAAAAUU